Molecule: ribosomal RNA, 564 nt
Filed under: Triticum aestivum (bread wheat)
Lineage: Eukaryota; Viridiplantae; Streptophyta; Magnoliopsida; Poales; Poaceae
Description: partial small subunit ribosomal RNA
Source: RNAcentral
AUGGCAGCCACCGGCACCCGCCUCUCCAUCGCCCACCAGACGCGCUUUGCACUCCGCGUUGCCUCCGCCAUCUCCUCGCCCUCGAACGCCGACGGUGCUGCCGGCAACGCAGCCUUCUCCCUGCUCUCCCUCCACAUCGCGCUUAGCCUCAUCGCCGCCGACGCGGGCGGUGCCACCCGGGGUCAGCUGGCUGCUACACUCGGUGCUGAAGGGACAGGCGAGGCGGAGAGCCUCCACGCGCUCGCCCAGCAUGUGGUCCAGCUGGUGCUCGCCGACGCAUCGGCCAAGGGCGGUCCUCGCGUCGCGUUCGCUAAUGGCCUCUUCGUCGACACGUCGAUGCCGCUCAAGUCGUCCUUCAAGGAGGUCGCCGUUGGGAAGUACAAGGCCGAGACCCACUCCGUCGACUUCCAAACUAAGGCUGCUGAAAUUGCAUGUCAAGUCAACACAUGGGUAGAGAAAAUCACAUCAGGUAUCAUCAAAGAGAUCCUCCCGGAAGGAUCUGUCGACAACACCACUAGACUUGUUCUUGGAAAUGCCCUUUAUUUCAAAGGAGCCCGGACAUAG